Long non-coding RNA from Rana temporaria (common frog), 646 nucleotides. RefSeq lists it as uncharacterized. Lineage: Eukaryota; Metazoa; Chordata; Amphibia; Anura; Ranidae. The transcript is spliced from 5 exons. The record is from RefSeq and is a predicted model, not a curated record.
GUAUUCCCUUGAGGGACAGGGUGCAGUUUCUAAUUGGUGAUUUGUUUAUAAAAUUGGGGCUGUGACUGUGUGUUGCGAUUCGUAUAGCUGGCCAGUGUGUGAUGUACAGUACGAAGAGCCGUACAGAACAUUGAUUUCCAUUGUCUGGGACGGUCACCUGCUGUGUCAGCUCUUCUGUCUCCAUCCGGAGAGAAAUAAAGCAGUGACCAUGAUGGCUCUUAGGGUCCUUUUUGUGCUUCUAUUAGUUUUUCCGAUGACAAUUAGCGAACUGUAUUAUAAUAACGGACCCAAAGGUAAAGCUUGCCCCUUUGGAGCCGAGAUGUCCCGGUGCUCCAGCUGUUCAGCUUAUUGUCAGCCCCCCGGUAAGGUGUGUAUUUCGGUGUGUGAAUACGGCUGUAGAUGUAUGAAGAGCAGACAUCGUAUAAAAGGGAAUCGCUGUGUUCCAGAAAAAAAAUGCUAAAGAAAGAGAAGACCUCUGGCUGUGGAAUAUUCAGUGCCAAACGCCAUGUAACCUGUCCUUGUAAAGAGCAAAAAAAAAAAAAAAAUACAUCUAAAAUUCAACCAAUACUAAAUAUGCACAGAAAGUACAUGUGUUGUUUCAUUUCCUAAAUUCAUUAUAAAUAAAGAUUAUCAUGGAAUUUAGAAA